UCCGGCAUAGCUCAGUUGGUAGAGCGCUUGACCGUUAAUCAAGAUGUCGGCAGUUCGAGUCUGCCUGCCGGAG
This 73-nucleotide transfer RNA is filed under the name Candidatus Gallilactobacillus intestinavium. Its description in RNAcentral is "tRNA-Asn". It matches the Rfam family "tRNA". From Rfam's summary of the family: Transfer RNA (tRNA) molecules are approximately 80 nucleotides in length. Their secondary structure includes four short double-helical elements and three loops (D, anti-codon, and T loops). Lineage: Bacteria; Bacillati; Bacillota; Bacilli; Lactobacillales; Lactobacillaceae. The record is from RNAcentral.